UAGAACCAAGACAUUCCUGGUAACCUGGCGU
RNAcentral lists this non-coding RNA (31 nucleotides) under Homo sapiens (human). Lineage: Eukaryota; Metazoa; Chordata; Mammalia; Primates; Hominidae. The record is from RNAcentral.